UGCUGGAGGUAUCAGAAGUGCGAAUGCUGACAUAAGUAACGAUAAAGCGGGUGAAAAGCCCGCUCGCCGGAAGACCAAGGGUUCCUGUCCAACGUUAAUCGGGGCAGGGUGAGUCGACCCCUAAGGCGAGGCCGAAAGGCGUAGUCGAUGGGAAACAGGUUAAUAUUCCUGUACUUGGUGUUACUGCGAAGGGGGGACGGAGAAGGCUAUGUUAGCCGGGCGACGGUUGUCCCGGUUUAAGCAUGUAGGCGGAGGUUCCAGGUAAAUCCGGUACCUUUUAACGCUGAGGUGUGAUGACGAGGCACUACGGUGCUGAAGUAACAAAUGCCCUGCUUCCAGGAAAAGCCUCUAAGCAUCAGGUAACAUUAAAUCGUACCCCAAACCGACACAGGUGGUCAGGUAGAGAAUACCAAGGCGCUUGAGAGAACUCGGGUGAAGGAACUAGGCAAAAUGGUGCCGUAACUUCGGGAGAAGGCACGCUGGUGUGUAGGUGAAGUCCCUGCGGAUGGAGCUGAGACCAGUCGAAGAUACCAGCUGGCUGCAACUGUUUAUUAAAAACACAGCACUGUGCAAACACGAAAGUGGACGUAUACGGUGUGACGCCUGCCCGGUGCCGGAAGGUUAAUUGAUGGGGUUAUCCGUAAGGAGAAGCUCUUGAUCGAAGCCCCGGUAAACGGCGGCCGUAACUAUAACGGUCCUAAGGUAGCGAAAUUCCUUGUCGGGUAAGUUCCGACCUGCACGAAUGGCGUAAUGAUGGCCAGGCUGUCUCCACCCGAGACUCAGUGAAAUUGAACUCGCUGUGAAGAUGCAGUGUACCCGCGGCAAGACGGAAAGACCCCGUGAACCUUUACUAUAGCUUGACACUGAACAUUGAGCCUUGAUGUGUAGGAUAGGUGGGAGGCUUUGAAGCGUGGACGCCAGUCUGCGUGGAGCCAACCUUGAAAUACCACCCUUUAAUGUUUGAUGUUCUAACGUUGGCCCGUAAUCCGGGUUGCGGACAGUGUCUGGUGGGUAGUUUGACUGGGGCGGUCUCCUCCCAAAGAGUAACGGAGGAGCACGAAGGUUAGCUAAUCCUGGUCGGACAUCAGGAGGUUAGUGCAAUGGCAUAAGCUAGCUUGACUGCGAGCGUGACGGCGCGAGCAGGUGCGAAAGCAGGUCAUAGUGAUCCGGUGGUUCUGAAUGGAAGGGCCAUCGCUCAACGGAUAAAAGGUACUCCGGGGAUAACAGGCUGAUACCGCCCAAGAGUUCAUAUCGACGGCGGUGUUUGGCACCUCGAUGUCGGCUCAUCACAUCCUGGGGCUGAAGUAGGUCCCAAGGGUAUGGCUGUUCGCCAUUUAAAGUGGUACGCGAGCUGGGUUUAGAACGUCGUGAGACAGUUCGGUCCCUAUCUGCCGUGGGCGCUGGAGAAUUGAGGGGGGCUGCUCCUAGUACGAGAGGACCGGAGUGGACGCAUCACUGGUGUUCGGGUUGUCAUGCCAAUGGCACUGCCCGGUAGCUAAAUGCGGAAGAGAUAAGUGCUGAAAGCAUCUAAGCACGAAACUUGCCCCGAGAUGAGUUCU
This 1559-nucleotide ribosomal RNA is filed under the name Escherichia coli. Its description in RNAcentral is "bacterial LSU rRNA". It matches the Rfam family "Bacterial large subunit ribosomal RNA", at positions 1271 to 2812 of the family's 2925-position model. Lineage: Bacteria; Pseudomonadati; Pseudomonadota; Gammaproteobacteria; Enterobacterales; Enterobacteriaceae. The record is from RNAcentral.